GCAAGUCGGACGGUAGCAGGUACUUCGGUAUGCUGACGAGUGGCGGACGGGUGAGUAACGCGUAGGAAUCUACCUAUAAGAGGGGGAUACCGACUGGAAACGGUCGUUAAUACCGCAUAAUACCUUCGGGUUAAAGGUGGCCUUUGUGCUGUCGCUUAUGGAUGAGCCUGCGUUGGAUUAGUUUGUUGGUGGGGUAAAGGCCUACCAAGACUGCGAUCCAUAGCUGAUUUGAGAGGAUGAUC
Molecule: ribosomal RNA, 242 nt
Filed under: uncultured bacterium
Lineage: Bacteria
Description: partial 16S ribosomal RNA
Rfam family: Bacterial small subunit ribosomal RNA
Source: RNAcentral